UACAGAGGGGGCAAGCGUUGUUCGGAAUUACUGGGCGUAAAGGGCGCGUAGGCGGCCUGUUAAGUCGAACGUGAAAUCCCCGGGCUCAACCCGGGAACUGCGUCCGAUACUGGCAGGCUUGAAUUCGGGAGAGGGAUGUGGAAUUCCCGGUGUAGUGGUGAAAUGCGUAGAUAUCGGGAGGAACACCAGUGGCGAAGGCGGGUCUCUGGGCCGUAACUGACGCUGAGGAGCGAAAGCGUGGGGAGCAAACAGG
This 253-nucleotide ribosomal RNA is filed under the name uncultured bacterium. RNAcentral's name for it is "partial 16S ribosomal RNA". It matches the Rfam family "Bacterial small subunit ribosomal RNA", at positions 524 to 776 of the family's 1533-position model. The record is from RNAcentral.